UUGAACGCUGGCGGCAGGCCUAACACAUGCAAGUCGAGCGGAUGGAGGGAGCUUGCUCCUGGAUUCAGCGGCGGACGGGUGAGUAAUGCCUAGGAAUCUGCCUGGUAGUGGGGGAUAACGUCCGGAAACGGGCGCUAAUACCGCAUACGUCCUGAGGGAGAAAGUGGGGGAUCUUCGGACCUCACGCUAUCAGAUGAGCCUAGGUCGGAUUAGCUAGUUGGUGGGGUAAAGGCCUACCAAGGCGACGAUCCGUAACUGGUCUGAGAGGAUGAUCAGUCACACUGGAACUGAGACACGGUCCAGACUCCUACGGGAGGCAGCAGUGGGGAAUAUUGGACAAUGGGCGAAAGCCUGAUCCAGCCAUGCCGCGUGUGUGAAGAAGGUCUUCGGAUUGUAAAGCACUUUAAGUUGGGAGGAAGGGCAGUAAGUUAAUACCUUGCUGUUUUGACGUUACCAACAGAAUAAGCACCGGCUAACUUCGUG
This 483-nucleotide ribosomal RNA is filed under the name uncultured bacterium. RNAcentral describes it as "partial 16S ribosomal RNA". It matches the Rfam family "Bacterial small subunit ribosomal RNA", at positions 30 to 507 of the family's 1533-position model. The record is from RNAcentral.